UACGUAGGGGGCAAGCGUUGUCCGGAUUUAUUGGGCGUAAAGAGCGUGUAGGCGGCCAUACAGGUCCGUUGUGAAAACUGGAGGCUUAACCUCCAGACGUCGAUGGAAACCGUAUGGCUAGAGUCCGGAAGAGGAGAGUGGAAUUCCUGGUGUAGCGGUGAAAUGCGCAGAUAUCAGGAAGACCACCCGUGGCGAAGGCGGCUCUCUGGGACGGUACUGACGCUGAGACGCGAAAGCGUGGGGAGCGAACAGG
RNAcentral lists this ribosomal RNA (253 nucleotides) under uncultured bacterium. RNAcentral's name for it is "partial 16S ribosomal RNA". It matches the Rfam family "Bacterial small subunit ribosomal RNA", at positions 524 to 776 of the family's 1533-position model. The record is from RNAcentral.